AACGCUAGCUACAGGCUUAACACAUGCAAGUCGAGGGGAAACGACAUCGAAAGCUUGCUUUUGAUGGGCGUCGACCGGCGCACGGGUGAGUAACGCGUAUCCAACCUGCCCACCACUUGGGGAUAACCUUGCGAAAGUAAGACUAAUACCCAAUGAUAUCUCUAGAAGGCAUCUGAAAGAGAUUAAAGAUUUAUCGGUGAUGGAUGGGGAUGCGUCUGAUUAGCUUGUUGGCGGGGUAAUGGCCCACCAAGGCAACGAUCAGUAGGGGUUCUGAGAGGAAGGUCCCCCACAUUGGAACUGAGACACGGUCCAAACUCCUACGGGAGGCAGCAGUGAGGAAUAUUGGUCAAUGGACGAGAGUCUGAACCAGCCAAGUAGCGUGCAGGAUGACGGCCCUAUGGGUUGUAAACUGCUUUUAUAAGGGAAUAAAGUUAGUCUCGUGAGACUUUUUGCAUGUACCUUAUGAAUAAGGACCGGCUAAUUCCGUGCCAGCAGCCGCGGUAAUACGGAAGGUCCGGGCGUUAUCCGGAUUUAUUGGGUUUAAAGGGAGCGUAGGCCGGAGAUUAAGCGUGUUGUGAAAUGUAGAUGCUCAACAUCUGCACUGCAGCGCGAACUGGUUUCCUUGAGUACGCACAAAGUGGGCGGAAUUCGUGGUGUAGCGGUGAAAUGCUUAGAUAUCACGAAGAACUCCGAUUG
This 696-nucleotide ribosomal RNA is filed under the name uncultured bacterium. RNAcentral describes it as "bacterial SSU rRNA". It matches the Rfam family "Bacterial small subunit ribosomal RNA", at positions 32 to 715 of the family's 1533-position model. The record is from RNAcentral.